Molecule: long non-coding RNA, 400 nt
Filed under: Sus scrofa (pig)
Lineage: Eukaryota; Metazoa; Chordata; Mammalia; Artiodactyla; Suidae
Description: lncRNA (ENSSSCG00055007651.1)
Source: RNAcentral
AUGAGGAAGGGAAAGGACCCUACUGCUUUUUUCUCCGUGGAGAGAAAGACUGAAGAAAAUGACUAUAACAUCCUAAAGAUGACAGUUGCUGGCACUGCAGAGACAGGCCCAGUGUUUUGGCGCCUCACCACAUUCUCUGCUCUCCAGUCGCCUCUUCCUCCAGGGAAUCUCCAAAGUGGCAACUUCUUCAACUUUAGGGAGCAAAGAAUUUUGAAACAUUGAAGAUACGGUGAAAAAUGGAGACAUGCAACGUCAUAUCUGUUAAAAAUCACUCUUGUACAUAUAUAUAACAGCAAAUUCCUGGUGUUCUGACCAACUCUGUAGAACUGUUUGUGGGCAUUUUAAAAUGUGAGUGAAUUCUUUACCCCUUCUAAUAAACCUUUAUCUCAUGAUUUAUGCA